RNAcentral lists this unclassified non-coding RNA (22 nucleotides) under Mus musculus (house mouse). Its description in RNAcentral is "oocyte_clustered_small_RNA11929". Lineage: Eukaryota; Metazoa; Chordata; Mammalia; Rodentia; Muridae. The record is from RNAcentral.
UGGUUUCACUGGUAGUCAUCUG